AGUGAACGCUGGCGGUAGGCCUAACACAUGCAAGUCGAACGGCAGCACAGUAAGAGCUUGCUCUUACGGGUGGCGAGUGGCGGACGGGUGAGGAAUACAUCGGAAUCUACUUUUUCGUGGGGGAUAACGUAGGGAAACUUACGCUAAUACCGCAUACGACCUACGGGUGAAAGCAGGGGAUCUUCGGACCUUGCGCGAUUGAAUGAGCCGAUGUCGGAUUAGCUAGUUGGCGGGGUAAAGGCCCACCAAGGCGACGAUCCGUAGCUGGUCUGAGAGGAUGAUCAGCCACACUGGAACUGAGACACGGUCCAGACUCCUACGGGAGGCAGCAGUGGGGAAUAUUGGACAAUGGGCGCAAGCCUGAUCCGGCCAUACCGCGUGGGUGAAGAAGGCCUUCGGGUUGUAAAGCCCUUUUGUUGGGAAAGAAAAGCAGCAGGUUAAUACCUCGCUGUUCUGACGGUACCCAAAGAAUAAGCACCGGCUAACUUCGUG
RNAcentral lists this ribosomal RNA (492 nucleotides) under uncultured bacterium. RNAcentral's name for it is "partial 16S ribosomal RNA". It matches the Rfam family "Bacterial small subunit ribosomal RNA", at positions 29 to 507 of the family's 1533-position model. The record is from RNAcentral.